This 482-nucleotide ribosomal RNA is filed under the name uncultured bacterium. RNAcentral's name for it is "partial 16S ribosomal RNA". It matches the Rfam family "Bacterial small subunit ribosomal RNA", at positions 27 to 507 of the family's 1533-position model. The record is from RNAcentral.
GGAUGAACGCUGGCGGCGUGCUUAACACAUGCAAGUCGAACGAAGCAUUUAGGACAGAUUACUUCGGUUUGAAGUUCUUUAUGACUGAGUGGCGGACGGGUGAGUAACGCGUGGGUAACCUGCCUUGUACUGGGGGAUAGCAGCUGGAAACGGCUGGUAAUACCGCAUAAGCGCACAAUGUUGCAUGACAUGGUGUGAAAAACUCCGGUGGUAUAAGAUGGACCCGCGUCUGAUUAGCUAGUUGGUGAGAUAACAGCCCACCAAGGCGACGAUCAGUAGCCGACCUGAGAGGGUGACCGGCCACAUUGGGACUGAGACACGGCCCAGACUCCUACGGGAGGCAGCAGUGGGGAAUAUUGCACAAUGGAGGAAACUCUGAUGCAGCGACGCCGCGUGAGUGAAGAAGUAAUUCGUUAUGUAAAGCUCUAUCAGCAGGGAAGAUAGUGACGGUACCUGACUAAGAAGCUCCGGCUAAAUACGUG